UUGUGUAUGUGUGUGUGUGCUAUGUAGUUAUUGUUACAGAGAUGCGGACCUACCACACAGAGUCAUCUGGUUAGUAACAUCUCGCCUUCUGACAAUCCCUGAUAGUACUCGUAGUUACUAAUUUAAUUGCUACACUUAACUGUGUACUUGUUAGCUGCGCAGAGAUUUAUAACUGUUAUUGUAAUGUUAAAUUUAAUCAGAAUUGAUGACUAGUUAUAAAAGCACUGUUCCAAUCUAUAUAUUAAUACGUGAAGCAAAAACUUUGUAUCCCUUUUUACGAAAAUUGCGCGGUCGGAGGAGUAUGACAUUUUCCACACUUAUAGAGAAUAUAGAGAAGAAGGGCACAACGCUAAUAUUUUUUUAAAAUAAUGCAUAAAAGAUACAUUAAAUCAAUAAGGAAAACACUACACACACUACAUACCAUGUAUUUGACGCACACACGCAUGCAUAGGGUAAAACCCCCAGAAGUCAGCCCCGCACCAGUACUCAGCCUUUAUAGGUUUUAUUUUGGUAUAAAUAGUGUUGAAAUGGACUUACACCAUUGAAAUAACGUUUAAUCAAAUCUAUGUUCUCUUGUUGGUUACUGUGCACAUCUAAGAACCGAUAGCGUGGCAGGUUGAUCCUCUGUACUCGUUCAUUUCCACUGCCGCCAACGAAAGGACAGGAUGUGUCACUUUUGCUAUUUUUUUCGUAAGGAAACGUGUUCGAGGUUUUGAGUUUCAUAAUGUCGAAACGACCAGUACAAAGAAGAGCAGUUCUCAUAGGCUAUGGCCGCGAUCAGAAACGGGAUGAAGAUUAGAGAAGCUAGUCGAGUUUUUAGCGUACCACUCUACAAGAUCGCCUGCAUUUAAGAGUCCCAGAAGCACCUCGUAAAAUGGUACCAGACUUCGUACUUACCAAAGACGAAGAAACUGCCUUGAAAGACUGGUGCAUUGCUUUGGCAGAAUGUGGCUUCCCUUUAAAUGUGAUGAUCCUUUAUACCGUCCAUAAUAUUAUUUCCCAAGAAAACAGACCUAACCCAUUUGUAAAUAAUAGGCCAGGGAAGAAAUGGAACUCAUUUCUUAAACGAAAUCCGGAGUUAAGAGAAUCAAAACCGCUAUCGAUGUUUUAAACAGAGCAAAGAAUAUGGUCGGUACUGAAAGCCUAAAUUCUACAGUAAAUUCAAUUAGCCAGGCCAUCCAAAUCGAUACCUCAAGUUCUAUUGAUUCUAAAAAUAGCGUCAGAAUCAGUUGAAAUCUUCAUGUUAGUUUGCCAAUUAUAGGGGAUUGCACAUUGGACAAUAAUUUCAUUAAUUUAACCGAAAGUGAAGUACCCUUAAAUGACUUCGAAUUCAUAACAGACUUUGAAGUCUUGCAACAAAAUCAUGAAGUCCAGGAAACAGGAGCAUCUGAAUUUAAUACGCAAGAAGAUAUAAACUGCGUCGAAGCAUGUUCAUGAACAGAAAAAGAACGAAAUAUUGAUUAAAAAGCAGAAAAGAAUGAAAGCUAAAAAAAGACUGAAGAAGAAAGACAAAAGAAGGAAGAAUAAUUACAAAAAAGGAAAGCUCAAAAGUUUUUGAUGUCCAAAAAAGUAUAAGUAAGAAGAAAAGUACGACAUGCACAGUAAACAGAAUAAGAUGCGAUUCGUGUGAAGAGGAAUUGACUAAUGACACAGAUAUAAACGACUUAAAAAACAUUGGUUGUGACAAUUGUCCUGCGUGGUAUCAUUUAAAAUGUACUAUAUUUGCAGGUGAAGACUAUGAAAAUGUCUAUAAUAAAGAAUUUGUAUGUCCAACGUGCAAUAAUAAGUAAAAGGCUGACUAUAGGGUAAGACAUGGCUGACUUGUGGAGAAAUGAGGCUGACUACCGGUAAAAAGUGCCAUAUUUUGUUUAAUAUUGAUUUUUUAUAUAAUUCUAACAAAAUUUAAAAAAAAAUUGUAUCUCUUUAGUAAAAAUAAUAAACGAACAUUCUGUAAAAAAAA
Long non-coding RNA from Bombyx mori (domestic silkworm), 1960 nucleotides. RefSeq lists it as uncharacterized. Lineage: Eukaryota; Metazoa; Arthropoda; Insecta; Lepidoptera; Bombycidae. The record is from RefSeq and is a predicted model, not a curated record. The transcript is spliced from 2 exons.